CCUACGGGUGGCAGCAGUGGGGAAUAUUGGGCAAUGGAGGCAACUCUUACCCAGCAAUGCCGCGUGAAUGAAGAAGGUCUUCGGAUUGUAAAGUUCUUUAAUUGGGGACGAAAAAAAUGACGGUACCCAAGGAAUAAGCCCCGGCUAACUACGUGCCAGCAACCGCGGUAAUACGUAGGGGGCAAGCGUUAUCCGGAUUUACUGGGUGUAAAGGGAGCGUAGACGGUCCUGCAAGCCAGAUGUGAAAGCCCGGGGCUCAACCCCGGGACUGCAUUUGGAACUGUAAGGCUAGAGUGUCGGAGAGGCAGGCGGAAUUCCUAGUGUAGCGGUGAAAUGCGUAGAUAUUAGGAGGAACACCAGUGGCGAAGGCGGCCUGCUGGACGAUGACUGACGUUGAGGCUCGAAAGCGUGGGGAGCAAACAGGAUUAGAUACCCGGGUAGUC
RNAcentral lists this ribosomal RNA (443 nucleotides) under uncultured bacterium. RNAcentral describes it as "partial 16S ribosomal RNA". It matches the Rfam family "Bacterial small subunit ribosomal RNA", at positions 338 to 795 of the family's 1533-position model. The record is from RNAcentral.